RNAcentral lists this ribosomal RNA (301 nucleotides) under uncultured bacterium. Its description in RNAcentral is "partial 16S ribosomal RNA". It matches the Rfam family "Bacterial small subunit ribosomal RNA", at positions 509 to 807 of the family's 1533-position model. The record is from RNAcentral.
CAGUCGCCGCGGGAAUACAGAGGGUGCAAGCGUUAAUCGGAAUUACUGGGCGUAAAGCGCGCGUAGGUGGUUUGUUAAGUUGGAUGUGAAAUCCCCGGGCUCAACCUGGGAGCUGCAUCCAAAACUGGCAAGCUAGAGUAUGGUAGAGGGUGGUGGAAUUUCCUGUGUAGCGGUGAAAUGCGUAGAUAUAGGAAGGAACACCAGUGGCGAAGGCGACCACCUGGACUGACACUGACACUGAGGUGCGAAAGCGUGGGGAGCAAACAGGAUUAGAUACCCCGGUAGUCCCUGUCUCUUAUAC